GAUGAACGCUGGCGGCGUGCCUAAUACAUGCAAGUCGAGCGCAAAGAUCAGGAGCUUGCUCCUGUGAUUUGAGCGGCGGACGGGUGAGUAACACGUAGGCAACCUACCCUUGAGAUUGGGAUAACUACCGGAAACGGUAGCUAAUACCGGAUACGAUUUUCUACAUAAGUAGAACUAUUAAAAGGACGGAUUUAUCUGCCACUCAUGGAUGGGCCUGCGGUGCAUUAGCUAGUUGGUGAGAUAGUAGCUCACCAAGGCCACGAUGCAUAGCCGACCUGAGAGGGUGAUCGGCCACACUGGGACUGAGACACGGCCCAG
This 318-nucleotide ribosomal RNA is filed under the name uncultured bacterium. RNAcentral's name for it is "bacterial SSU rRNA". It matches the Rfam family "Bacterial small subunit ribosomal RNA", at positions 28 to 334 of the family's 1533-position model. The record is from RNAcentral.